UGGGGAAUAUUGGACAAUGGGCGGAAGCCUGAUCCAGCCAUGCCGCGUGUGUGAAGAAGGCCUUUUGGUUGUAAAGCACUUUAAGCGAGGAGGAGGCUACUUGGAUUAAUACUCUAGGAUAGUGGACGUUACUCGCAGAAUAAGCACCGGCUAACUCUCUGCCAGCAGCCGCGGUAAUACAGAGGGUGCGAGCGUUAAUCGGAUUUACUGGGCGUAAAGCGUGCGUAGGCGGCUUCUUAAGUCGGAUGUGAAAUCCCUGAGCUUAACUUAGGAAGUGCAUUCGAUACUGGGAAGCUAGAGUAUGGGAGAGGAUGGUAGAAUUCCAGGUGUAGCGGUGAAAUGCGUAGAGAUCUGGAGGAAUACCGAUGGCGAAGGCAGCCAUCUGGCCUAAUACUGACGCUGAGGUACGAAAGCAUGGGGAGCAAACAGG
RNAcentral lists this ribosomal RNA (430 nucleotides) under bacterium. Its description in RNAcentral is "partial 16S ribosomal RNA". It matches the Rfam family "Bacterial small subunit ribosomal RNA", at positions 355 to 776 of the family's 1533-position model. The record is from RNAcentral.